This 6948-nucleotide long non-coding RNA is filed under the name Homo sapiens (human). RNAcentral describes it as "HSALNT0406948". The record is from RNAcentral. Lineage: Eukaryota; Metazoa; Chordata; Mammalia; Primates; Hominidae.
AGAGUUAGUCCCCCUCCCUCCGCCCCGCGCCGCGUGGGACCCGUUGAAGGAACCACCUGGGUUCCGUUAGGGCUGGCUGGGAAAAAAGAUAUGAUGGAAAGACGUGGGGAGACGUCUCAGUGGUCUACUGUGGUUGCUCCUGGGCUGGAGAAGAUCAGGACCUAUUCUUACUAUCCAUCGACUGAUUCCAUCCAUCGCUACCCAUCUGCCACCCAUCUGUAACCAUCUUUCUUGCUCUGAAAAUAAUACGCUACAGUACUUUCAAACUACUCGAUAAUACAUAGCGUGGAUUUUCCGAGUCCUGCUUCCACACGUGAGCUACCAGCGAGCAUGACUCAGGCUGUGACAAUGGAUAAGGACAGCUGGAAGCAAUGGUGUUCUUCUCAGCCGGAACCCGGUGCGGUCAGUGUGCAGCCUGACACUCGAAACUCAUUCAUCUUCCUGUAUCCCUCUUCAUGUUGCAGCACACCAAGGCUUUGGAUUCCUUCAGCACUAUUCGAUUACAUGAGACAAGCUUCUUGAUCUGAGCCACCAAUUUCCUGAGUGAAGGUCCAGGACUCAAACAGCUGGGAGAGAAGGCCGUUGCCAAAUGCCUCCUGAGUGAUCAGUUUCAACCCACUGAGCAUCGUCUCGCUUGCAGCUGGUCGUCCCAUGAUUUCGGAAACGUAAUGGUAGAUCAGCUAUCUGGGAUCUGCUCAGAGGUAGAAGAGGGUGUUGGAAACCAAGUCUUUUCAUUAGCCUAAACCAUAUCACAAAGAGGCAAUACGGAUGCUCCUAGUCGAAUGGCUGGGCAGCUGACUGGUUUAGUAAUAGACAGCUUAAGUUAAAUGAUAGCAUUCACAAAGUUCCUUCCAUUCAACUAUGAAACAGGCCCCUACCUGGGCCCAAUCUCCUCUACUCUGUACUUCAGAGGCCAGACGAGAUUGGGAGCGUUCACGGUGGUAUGGCUGUAGAUUGUUCACGAUGUUUCUGGUAGCUUUUGCCCUUUUAAUGCUUGCUCUCUUUCUGUCCUCUGUCAAACGUUGUAAAACAUAAAUAAGGUCAAGUGCGCCACAGAAGACCCUACCUAAGGCCCUGAGCAGUACAAGGUUGUUGUACUUUCUGGAGUUCAAUGAUCGCAUUCACGAAGUUCCUUCCAUCCAAUACCCUCUUCUACCUCCAGGAACAUUCCAGAUACCUGACCUAGCAUUACAUUUCCGAAAUAAUGGGACGAUUUAUCCAGAGUACUCCCGAAUAAAUAGCGUGAAUGUUCUCGGUCCUGCUUGCAAGCAUAAGCUACCAGUGAGCUUGUUUCAGGCUGUGAGAAUGGAUAAGGACAGCCGGAAGCAAUGGUGUUCUUCUCAGCUGGAACCCGAUGUGGUCAGUGUGCAGCCUGACACUCGAAACUCAUUCAUCUUCCUUUCUAAGUCCUUUCACAUGGAGUCCAACCCUUGGGCAGAACCCCAGAUUUUCUUCAGUACUUCACAUGUUCUCUCGUUGGCCUGUUCCAGAUCCCUCUUCAUGUUGCAGCACACCAAGGCUUUGGAUUCCUCCAGCACUAUUCGAUUACAUGAGACAAGCUUCUUGAUCUGAGCCACCAAUUUCCUGAUUGAAGGUCCAGGAUCCAAACAGCUGGGAGAGAAGGCCGUUGCCAAAUGCCUCCUGUGUGAUCAGUUUCAACCCACUGAGCAUCGUCUCGCUUGCAGCUGGUCGUCCCAUGAUUUCGGAAACGUAAUGGUAGAUCAGCUAUCUGGAAUCUGCCCAGAGGUAGAAGAGGGUGUUGGAAACCAAGUCUUUUCAUUAGCCAAAACCAUAUCACAAAGAGGCAAUAUGGGUGCUCCUAGUCGAACGGCUGGGCUGUUGACUGCUUUAGUAAUAGACAGCUUAAGUUAAAUGAUAGCAUUCACAAAGUUCCUUCCAUCCAACUAUGAAACAGGCCCCUACCUGGGCCCAAUCUCCUCUACUCUGUACAUCAGAGGCCAGACGAGAUUGGGAGCGUUCACAGUGGUAUGGGUGUAGGUUGUUCACGAUGUUUCUGGUAGCUUUUGCCCUUUUAAUGCUUGUUCUCUUUCUGUCCUCUGACAAACGUUGUAAAACAUAAAUAAGGUCAAGUGCACCACAGAAGACCCUACCUAAGGCCCUGAGCAGUACAAGGUUGGUGUACUUUCUGGAGUUCAAUGAUCGCAUUCAUGAAGUUCCUUCCAUCCAAUACCCUCUUCUACCUCCAGGAAGAUUCCAGAUACCUGACCUAGCAUUACAUUUCCGAAAUAAUGGGACGAUUUAUCCAGAGUACUCCCGAAUAAAUAGCGUGAAUGUUCCUAGUCCUGCUUGGAAGCAUAAGCUACCAGUGAGCUUGUCUCAGGCUGUGAGAAUGGAUAAGGACAGGUGGAAGCAAUGGUGUUCUUCUCAGCCGGAACCCCGUGUGGUCAGUGUGCAGCCUGACACUCGAAACUCGUUCAUCUUCCUUUCUAAGUCCUUUCACAUGGAGUCCAACCCUCGGGCAGAACCCCAGAUUUUCUUCAGUACUUCACAUGUUCUCUCGUUGGCCUGUUCCAGAUCCCUCUUCAUGUUGCAGCACACCAAGGCUUUGGAUUCCUCCAGCAAUAUUCGAUUACAUGAGACAAGCUUCUUGAUCUGAGCCACCAAUUUCCUGAGUGAAGGUCCAGGAUCCAAACAGCUGGGAGAGAAGGCCGUUGCCAAAUGCCUCCUGAGUGAUCAGUUUCAACCCACUGAGCAUCGUCUCACUUGCAGCUGGUCGUCCCAUGAUUUCGGAAACGUAAUGGUAGAUCAGCUAUCUGGAAUCUGCCCAGAGGUAGAAGAGGGUGUUGGAAACCAAGUCUUUUCAUUAGCCUAAACCAUAUCACAAAGAGGCAAUACGGAUGCUCCUAGUCGAAUGGCUGGGCCAUUGAGUGCUUCAACAAUACGCAGCUUAAGCUGAACAAUAGCAUUCAGGAAGUUCCUUCUAUCCAACAAUGAAACAGGCCCGAACCUGGACCCAAUCGCAUCUACUCUGUACUUCAGAGACCAGACAAGAUUGGGAGCGUUCACGGUGGUAUGACUGUAGAUUGUUCACGACGUUUCCAGUAGCUUCUGCCGUUUUAAUGCUUGCUCUCUCUCUGUCCUCUGUCAAAUGUCGUAAAAAAUAAAUAAGGCCAAGUGCACCACGGAAGACCGUACCAAUGGCGCUGAGCAGUCCAAGGUUGCUGUACUUUCUGGAGUCAGUACUCCCGAAUAAAUAGCGUGAAUGUUCCCAGUCCUGCUUGCAAGCAUAAGCUACCAGUGAGCUUGUCUCAGGCUGUGAGAAUGGAUAAGGACAGAUGGAAGCAAUGGUGUUCUUCUCAGCCGGAACCCGAUGUGGUCAGUGUGCAGCCUGACACUCGAAACUCGUUCAUCUUCCUUUCUAAGUCCUUUCACAUGGAGUCCAACCCUUGGGCAGAACCCCAGAUUUUCUUCAGUACUUCACAUGUUCUCUCGUUGGCCUGUUCCAGAUCCGUCUUCAUGUUGCAGCACACCAAGGCUUUGGAUUCCUCCAGCACUAUUCGAUUACAUGAGACAAGCUUCUUGAUCUGAGCCACCAAUUUCCUGAGUGAAGGUCCAGGAUCCAAACAGCUGGGAGAGAAGGCCGUUGCCAAAUGCCUCCUGAGUGAUCAGUUUCAACCCACUGAGCAUCGUCUCACUUGCAGCUGGUCGUCCCAUGAUUUCGGAAACGUAAUGGUAGAUCAGCUAUCUGGAAUCUGCCCAGAGGUAGAAGAGGGUGUUGGAAACCAAGUCUUUUCAUUAGCCUAAACCAUAUCACAAAGAGGCAAUACGGAUGCUCCUAGUCGAAUGGCUGGGCGGCUGACUGGUUUAGUAAUAGACAGCUUAAGUUAAAUGAUAGCAUUCACAAAGUUCCUUCCAUCCAACUAUGAAACAGGCCCCUACCUGGGCCCAAUCUCCUCUACUCUGUACUUCAGAGGCCAGACGAGAUUGGGAGCGUUCACGGUGGUAUGGCUGUAGAUUGUUCACGAUGUUUCUGGUAGCUUUUGCCCUUUUAAUGCUUGCUCUCUUUCUGUCCUCUGUCAAACGUUGUAAAACAUAAAUAAGGUCAAGUGCGCCACAGAAGACCCUACCUAAGGCCCCGAGCAGUACAAGCUUGGUGUACUUUCUGGAGUUCAAUGAUCGCAUUCACGAAGUUCCUUCCAUCCAAUACGCUCUUCUACCUCCAGGAAGAUUCCAGAUACCUGACCUAGCAUUACAUUUCCGAAAUAAUGGAACGAUUUAUCCAGAGUACUCCCGAAUAAAUAGCGUGAAUGUUCCCGGUCCUGCUUACAAGCAUAAGCUACCAGUGAGCUUGUUUCAGGCUGUGAGAAUGGAUAAGGACACCCGGAAGGAAUGGUGUUCUUCUCAGCUGGAACCCGAUGUGGUCACUGUGCAGCCUGACACUCGAAACUCGUUCAUCUUCCUUUCUAAAUCCUUUCACAUGGAGUCCAACCCUUGGGCAGAACCCCAGAUUUUCUUCAGUACUUCACAUGUUCUCUCGUUGGCCUGUUCCAGAUCCCUCUUCAUGUUGCAGCACACCAAGGCUUUGGAUUCCUCCAGCACUAUUCGAUUACAUGAGACAAGCUUCUUGAUCUGAGCCACCAAUUUCCUGAGUGAAGGUCCAGGAUCCAAACAGCUGGGAGAGAAAGCCGUUGCCAAAUGCCUCCUGUGUGAUCAGUUUCAACCCACUGAGCAUCGUCUCGCUUGCAGCUGGUCGUCCCAUGAUUUCGGAAACGUAAUGGUAGAUCAGCUAUCUGGAAUCUGCCCAGAGGUAGAAGAGGGUGUUGGAAACCAAGUCUUUUCAUUAGCCUAAACCAUAUCACAAAGAGGCAAUACGGAUGCUCCUAGUCGAAUGGCUGGGCCAUUGAGUGCUUCAACAAUACACAGCUUAAGCGGAACAAAGCAUUCAGAAAGUUCCUUCUAUCCAACAAUGAAACAGGCCCGAACCUGGGCCCAAUCGCAUCUACUCUGUACUUCAGAGACCAGACAAGAUUGGGAGCGUUCACGGUGGUAUGACUGUAGAUUGCUCACGACGUUUCCAGUAGCUUCUGCCGUUUUAAUGCUUGCUCUCUCUCUGCCCUCUGUCAAAUGUCGUAAAAAAUAAAUAAGGCCAAGUACACCACGGAAGACCCUACCAAUGGCGCCGAGCAGUCCAAGCUUCCUGUACUUUCUGGAGUCAGUACUCCCGAAUAAAUAGCGUGAAUGUUCCUAGUCCUGCUUGGAAGCAUAAGCUACCAGUGAGCUUGUCUCAGGCUGUGAGAAUGGAUAAGGACAGGUGGAAGCAAUGGUGUUCUUCUCAGCCGGAACCCCAUGUGGUCAGUGUGCAGCCUGACACUCGAAACUCGUUCAUCUUCCUUUCUAAGUCCUUUCACAUGGAGUCCAACCCUUGGGCAGAACCCCAGAUUUUCUUCAGUACUUCACAUGUUCUCUCGUUGGCCUGUUCCAGAUCCCUCUUCAUGUUGCAGCACACGAAGGCUUUGGAUUCCUCCAGCACUAUUCGAUUACAUGAGACAAGCUUCUUGAUCUGAGCCACCAAUUUCCUGAGUGAAGGUCCAGGAUCCAAACAGCUGGGAGAGAAGGCCGUUGCCAAAUGCCUCCUGUGUGAUCAGUUUCAACCCACUGAGCAUCAUCUCGCUUGCAGCUGGUCGUCCCAUGAUUUCGGAAACGUAAUGGUAGAUCAGCUAUGUGGGAUCUGCUCAGAGGUAGAAGAGGGUGUUGGAAACCAAGUCUUUUCAUUAGCCUAAACCAUAUCACAAAGAGGCAAUACGGAUGCUCCUAGUCGAAUGGCUGGGCCAUUGAGUGCUUCAACAAUACGCAGCUUAAGCUGAACAAAGCAUUCAGGAAGUUCCUUCUAUCCAACAAUGAAACAGGCCCGAACCUGGGCCCAAUCGCAUCUACUCUGUACUUCAGAGACCAGACAAGAUUGGGAGCGUUCACGGUGGUAUGACUGUUGAUUGCUCACGACGUUUCCAGUAGCUUCUGCCGUUUUAAUGCUUGCUCUCUCUCUGCCCUCUGUCAAAUGUCGUAAAAAAUAAAUAAGGCCAAGUGCACCACGGAAGACCCUACCAAUGGCGCCGAGUAGUCCAACCUUCCUGUACUUUCUGGAGUCAGUACUCCCGAAUAAAUAGCGUGAAUGUUCCUAGUCCUGCUUGGAAGCAUAAGCUACCAGUGAGCUUGUCUCAGGCUGUGAGAAUGGAUAAGGACAGUUGGAAGCAAUGGUGUUCUUCUCAGCCGGAACCCCAUGUGGUCAGUGUGCAGCCUGACACUCGAAACUCGUUCAUCUUCCUUUCUAAGUCCUUUCACAUGGAGUCCAACCCUCGGGCAGAACCCCAGAUUUUCUUCAGUACUUCACAUGUUCUCUCGUUGGCCUGUUCCAGAUCCCUCUUCAUGUUGCAGCACACCAAGGCUUUGGAUUCCUCCAGCAAUAUUCGAUUACAUGAGACAAGCUUCUUGAUCUGAGCCACCAAUUUCCUGAGUGAAGGUCCAGGUUCCAAACAGCUGGGAGAGAAGGCCGUUGCCAAAUGCCCCCUGUGUGAUCAGUUUCAACCCACUGAGCAUCGUCUCACUUGCAGCUGGUCGUCCCAUGAUUUCGGAAACGUAAUGGUAGAUCAGCUAUCUGGAAUCUGCCCAGAGGUAGAAGAGGGUGUUGGAAACCAAGUAUUUUCAUUAGCCUAAACCAUAUCACAAAGAGGCAAUACGGAUGCUCCUAUUCGAAUGGCUGGGCCAUUGAGUGCUUCAACAAUACGCAGCUUAAGCUGAACAAUAGCAUUCAGGAAGUUCCUUCUAUCCAACAAUGAAACAGGCCCGAACCUGGGCCCAAUCGCAUCUACUCUGUACUUCAGAGACCAGACAAGAUUGGGAGCGUUCACGGUGGUAUGACUAUAGAUUGUUCACGACGUUUCCAGUAGCUUCUGCCGUUUGAAUGCUUGCUCUCUCUCUGUCCUCUGUCAA